RNAcentral lists this ribosomal RNA (253 nucleotides) under uncultured bacterium. Its description in RNAcentral is "partial 16S ribosomal RNA". It matches the Rfam family "Bacterial small subunit ribosomal RNA", at positions 524 to 776 of the family's 1533-position model. The record is from RNAcentral.
UACGUAGGGUGCGAGCGUUGUCCGGAAUUAUUGGGCGUAAAGAGCUCGUAGGCGGUUUGUCACGUCUGCUGUGAAAUCCCGAGGCUCAACCUCGGGCCUGCAGUGGGUACGGGCAGACUGGAGUGCGGUAGGGGAGAAUGGAAUUCCUGGUGUAGCGGUGGAAUGCGCAGAUAUCAGGAGGAACACCGAUGGCGAAGGCAGUUCUCUGGGCCGUAACUGACGCUGAGGAGCGAAAGCUAGGGGAGCGAACAGG